RNAcentral lists this ribosomal RNA (324 nucleotides) under uncultured prokaryote. RNAcentral's name for it is "bacterial SSU rRNA". It matches the Rfam family "Bacterial small subunit ribosomal RNA", at positions 26 to 352 of the family's 1533-position model. The record is from RNAcentral.
AGAUUGAACGCUGGCGGCAUGCCUAACACAUGCAAGUCGAGCGGCAGCGCGGGGGCAACCCUGGCGGCGAGCGGCGGACGGGUGAGUAAGGCAUCGGAAUCUGCCCUGAUGUGGGGGAUAACGUAGGGAAACUUACGCUAAUACCGCAUACGACCGAGAGGUGAAAGCGGGGGACCGAAAGGCCUCGCGCAGCAGGAUGAGCCGAUGUCCGAUUAGCUGGUUGGUGGGGUAAAGGCCUACCAAGGCUACGACGGGUCGCUGGUCUGAGAGGACGACCAGCCACACUGGCACUGAGAUACGGGCCAGACUCCUACGGGAGGCAGC